RNAcentral lists this ribosomal RNA (211 nucleotides) under uncultured eukaryote. RNAcentral describes it as "partial 18S ribosomal RNA". It matches the Rfam family "Eukaryotic small subunit ribosomal RNA", at positions 1299 to 1458 of the family's 1831-position model. The record is from RNAcentral.
UGGUGGUGUGAAUUGUCUGGUUGAUUCCGUUAACGAACGAGACCUUCGCCUACUAAAUAGCUACUGGAAGAUAUUGCAUCAAGGCCGAGGGGCCUACCUGCGGAAGGAUCCGUUCCCCGUGGGUGGUCGUUCUCUCGGUUGCUGUUCUUUCAGAAAAUGCUUCUUAGAGGGACUAUUUGUGACAAGCAAAUGGAAGUUGGAGGCAAAAACA